RNAcentral lists this long non-coding RNA (772 nucleotides) under Ananas comosus (pineapple). RNAcentral describes it as "long non-coding RNA (ACOM_LNC032450)". The record is from RNAcentral. Lineage: Eukaryota; Viridiplantae; Streptophyta; Magnoliopsida; Poales; Bromeliaceae.
UAUGCAUCAAACAAAAUGAUUACAGUAAAGUGGUGCUGUUGGUUACACGACUUUGUUCAAAGACUGUGCUUAAACAAACUGUGGGUGUCAAAUCCCAAUAUUGAAACAAUAACAAUAAUAUUUAAUAAUAAAGCUUAAAGAAAUCUAACCUCUUUUUUUUUUUUAUCAAAACAGUAAAAUAUAUAUAUNAAAAGGAUAGAGAUAUUUUUGUAAAGAGAAAAAAUUCAAAACUCACGCUUUUAUAAAAAAUUAAUAUCUUUUACUAUAUUAUUAAAAAUCACAUAUAAUGAAGAAAAUUUUAUUUCAAAGUCACCUAUAAUUAUGUUGAGAUAUUUGAGAAAUUUACGGAUAUUAUAUUGUGAAAGAAUUGGCGGUGCAGAUAUUACGCGUGAGAAGAAAAAUAUCUAUUCCUCUAUACCUAUACAUUAUUUCUCUUGGAGUUUGCCACGUGGCAAUUCCUCCUUCACCCCUCAUUUUCACUUCAAAAUUUCUAUUCUCCAAUCAUUGCUUCUCUCUAACGUUUACCUCUUCGACUUUCCGUCUCAUUAAUUUCUUCCCUGUAACGUUUGUCUCUUCAGUUUUCCGUCUCAUUAAUUUCUUUUCUGUAACGUAUGUUUCUUUGGCUUCCCAUCUCAUUAAUUUCUUCUCUGUAACGUUGCUGCUUCGACUUCCCCCUUAUUAAUUUCUAUUUUCUAAGAGGCGUUGCCCGAGAAGCCCCUGGGCACAGCAUAUGGCGUCCUCGACAACGACCUCGCCUACUACGUCCGCUCCA